RNAcentral lists this ribosomal RNA (494 nucleotides) under uncultured bacterium. Its description in RNAcentral is "partial 16S ribosomal RNA". It matches the Rfam family "Bacterial small subunit ribosomal RNA", at positions 28 to 507 of the family's 1533-position model. The record is from RNAcentral.
GACGAGCGCUGGCGGCGUGCUUAACACAUGCAAGUCGAACGGUGAAGCGCCUUCCUUUUUGGUGGGUGUGGAUGAGUGGCGAACGGGUGAGUAACACGUGAGUAACCUGCCCCCUUCUUCUGGAUAACCGCAUGAAAGUGUGGCUAAUACGGGAUAUUCUGGGUCUGUCGCAUGAUGGGUCUGGGAAAGAUAUUGUUUCGGUGGGGGAUGGGCUCGCGGCCUAUCAGCUUGUUGGUGGGGUGAUGGCCUACCAAGGCGGUGACGGGUAGCCGGCCUGAGAGGGUGGACGGUCACACUGGGACUGAGACACGGCCCAGACUCCUACGGGAGGCAGCAGUGGGGAAUAUUGCACAAUGGGCGCAAGCCUGAUGCAGCGACGCCGCGUGAGGGAUGGAGGCCUUCGGGUUGUGAACCUCUUUCGCCAGUGAAGCAGGCCUGCCUCGUUUGUGGGUGGGUUGACGGUAGCUGGAGAAGAAGCGCCGGCUAACUACGUG